AUAUAUGAAAUGAUAUAUCAUAUACGAUUUCGGCUCGUAAAUUAGGUAUUAUUACCCUUAUAUU
This 64-nucleotide transfer RNA is filed under the name Sepiadarium kochi. RNAcentral's name for it is "tRNA-Arg". The record is from RNAcentral. Lineage: Eukaryota; Metazoa; Mollusca; Cephalopoda; Sepiida; Sepiadariidae.